CUGCAGGUGCCUGCCAGGCAAGACUAAAUAAGCGCGCUGUGUUCGCCGAGGCGAUCUGAAAAACGCCUUCCGAUCCUUGGUUUCUCUUCUUUUUUUUUUUCAGUUCCAAAUUGCAGAGCCAUAAAAUGCUUGUUUACGAGACUGCUGGUGCAGUCAAGUUUGCGAAACGAUAUUCGGGCAGGCGCAGCUUCGGUUACUACGCCACCCAGCGAGAGCAGCCUAUCGCGCUGCUGUGGAAUCAGUCACCUUGCUCAAAAAUUACCCGGGCCCUUUGCAACAGUGCCAGUUUUCGCUCCAUGCAAAAGAAUAAAAAAACAUUAUUACGCCUUAUGUUGACAGGAGCUGGCCGCUGAACCAAUGUGGAUCGGUAAUUGGAGCUAGAAUGCUGCCAGGUACUGCUGCUCGUCUCUGUGUGGACAAGUACUGCAAAGAGGACAGCAUCUUCCUUUGUGGACUUUUUCUGAAGGCGUUUAGUAUGCACAAUUUCUAAUUCUGCGUGACAAGAAACUGUUGUGCAACCUAAUUUUCGCUAACAUUUGAAAGUGUGAAAUGAACCCAUGAGCAAACCUACUCCUAUUGAGAUUUCAUAUUUACUUUGAAUAAAAAAAAAAUGCAAAUAAACCUUGUAGCGCUAGA
This is a long non-coding RNA of Rhipicephalus microplus (southern cattle tick), 636 nucleotides long. NCBI's taxonomy places the organism in Eukaryota, Metazoa, Arthropoda, Arachnida, Ixodida, Ixodidae. The record is from RefSeq and is a predicted model, not a curated record.